Non-coding RNA from Callorhinus ursinus (northern fur seal), 1073 nucleotides. The record is from RefSeq and is a predicted model, not a curated record. Lineage: Eukaryota; Metazoa; Chordata; Mammalia; Carnivora; Otariidae.
UCCCAGGACCCUGGGAUCGUGACCUGGGCCGAAGGCAGACGCCCAACGACUGAGCCACCCAGGCGCUCCUCUUGCUGUGCAUUUACAGUGUCACGUGGUUCUUCUGGAGGGGCAAAUGGGGUGUGCAGGGCGAGGCGGCAGGCAGGGAGAAGGGUGUCCUUGCGGUGCACCGGGUCAGGCCUAGAGCUCUCCGGGAGUCGAGAUGCUUGGCGUUCCCUGCCCUCCACCUGCCCGCUGCCGGAGUGAGCGUGACCACCGCUGCUCGCGUCCUGGAGGCAUCCGCGGAACACAGCCGGCUGGGCCGGGAUAAGAGUCACGCCUGCUGGUUCUUCAGCGCUUGACGCUGGUUUAGAGGCCGCACUCCAGUCUUCCUCCCAGCAUCCCUGUGAGGCAGCUUUGUCACUGGGAGAAGAAGAGGCGGAGGGUCAGAGGGACUUGUCUGAGGCAACACAGCCGCGGCUCCUUUUGACUCUUAGCCACGGUGUGCACUGAGCUGGGUCUGAGUUAGAUGCCGAAGCAGAGAAGCCCCAGUCGACUCACAGGUGAUGGGCUUUGCAAAGUAAGCAGCUCCCUCCCUGGGUGGUCUUUAGCCUGAUAAUAAAUCAGUACCAUGGUUGGGUGCUGUCCCCAGGUGUGUUCUGUUUGGUCUAACGAAUAUUUAUAAAAAGGUGAGCCAAAUGGAACAAGGCUGGAAGUCUCACAAAUUUGGAUUUCUGGCGUGUCAUGAAAGAUCCAGAAGAUCUGGCAAUGUCGGUGUGACCCACGGGCAGCAACGGAAAGCAAGCCGGAAUCCAGAGCGAAACCUAGGAGGUGGAGGGUCACCUUGAGCAGAGGGGUGAGGGGGACAGUCCGGGAACUGCCCCCACCUCCAGGAGCCGAUCUCCCCUCCGAAGGAAAGUGAUCCUUUUACCUCUAACUGUCUAUCAUCGUUCACUGUUCCUGAGUGGAUUUGAGUUUUGGAAACGCCCAGAAGGAAUCUGGAGCUAAAUCUAGUGAUUGAAGUGGGUGAUUAAGCCUAAUUAGACCAUUUGUUAUUACAGACAAAGAAACCAAAUACAACUAAAGAAAUAACA